RNAcentral lists this long non-coding RNA (1754 nucleotides) under Homo sapiens (human). Its description in RNAcentral is "HSALNT0237973". The record is from RNAcentral. Lineage: Eukaryota; Metazoa; Chordata; Mammalia; Primates; Hominidae.
AAGUCCCCUAUACCCAAAUAUGGUUUAGGCUUGAUUGAAAACUUAGCUUGGGCAUUUUUCUUUAAACAUAACGUUUUGUUUAGCAAAAGGAAACUUGUUCUUUUUUGGUUCACGGUUUUCUUACUGAAGAUUCUACUACUUAUUUGAGGCUAAACUGUAGCUAGUAUCUUUGAGCUUUUCUUGAAGGAGUUUGAAGUUCACUAUUAGUGAUUUGGGCUUUUGGACCAUGUCUAUAAGUGACAUGGGACCGGCUGUCACUGACAGGACCCUUCCAGGGAGGCUGUGCAACACCCACGGGCCCCUGACAGUAACUCUGUGCAGUGAGUGGGUGGGGGCCUCUCACAGUGGCUGGGAACCAGCCAGAGCAGGGAUGAGGGAGCAGACUGUCUGGGCCCCAGGGCAGACUGAAAAGGAUGGAGAGAAACCCCAGGAUGGGGUCCUCCUCCUUAUGUGUUUUUAAGUUGAUGUUUGGCUUGGCUGGGUUUCCGUAAUAAAAAUCCUUGGAGUGCAGGGCUAGUCCUGCUGGCCCCAGCAGAAAGUCGAGGACUUCCUAGAUGUCUGUGGUGCAACAGGGCAGGAUGGGGCCGUGUUCGCGCUCCCAGGAGACAUUAGGAGGCACAGGCAUGGGUGGGUGUCAUCCUUUUCCUCAACUGUAUCUGAAGACUCCACCCAACCCUUCAAGAAGAUGGAAAUGCAGUUGCCCAGAAACCGUACUUCUCAGUGGUGUUUUUUGAUGUGGCAUCUGAUGUGCACUGAUCUGUGUCUUUUGUUCUGUUCUGUUUUUCUGUCCUGCCUCGCUCGAAAGGACCGCAAGUCUCAGCUGCUACAAAAUCAAAGACAGCAAGUUGCUUAGGAGCAGCACAGCCUUUUCUGGGAUUGAGACCAGAGAAUGCUUCCCUCGGGGUUCUUAAGGGGCCCCCGUGUCUGUGGUCAGCUCAGUAUGUGGGGCUACAGGAGGCACUCAGUGGAGACAACAGCCUAGGGGGAGAUGAACCCCAGAGGGAGCUGGCUGAGCCUUGGGCUGAGCAGCCACCGGGAGAGAAUCCAGAGGACGUAGAGAGAGAAACAGCCUCCUGCAGCCAGUGUGGGAAUAACGUAGGGGAUUUCACUUACUUCCCACCCUUGGAAUUGUAGCAAGCCCAGCAUCACCUGAGCCUGAGCUCUGCCCUUUGUCACUGGGGCAGGAGCCAGUAGCGAGCAUGCUGGGUGCUGUGGCUGUCAGGGCGCUCCCCUCCCCUGGGCCUGCUGUAGCAGGAAUCUGGGGCUUCUGACGCAGUGCCUGCAAGGAGCAAACCCAGGCCUUAGGAGUGAUCAAACUCACUACAGUCCUGACAGAAAGUCCCCAACAAGCAGGAACCGGGAUGUCAGUGACAUCCCCCAGCCAUGCUCCGGGGCCUGCCUCUGAGUAGCACUUAGGCUCAGGGCUGCCUGCCUGGCUUGGCCCCAGCCCCUUCAAUGGUGACCAGAUGUCUACCCAGGUCCUCUGCAAGACUGACUGCUGUGAGAACCCUGCACUCUGUGGGGAGGGACCCCCCAAGGGCACCUGGAAGCAGGCAUGGGUGUUGAGGUACAUCUGGGCUCAGAAUGGGAGAUGGAUUUUCCCCCCAUUCCCCCAGCCACUCUCUGUGGCAGGCUUCCAAAGAAACCCUCUCAGAAACACACAAUUAUCAAGCUGUGACAACUGCUUGAGGUGAGGCUCACCUGGACCAGUGAGGUUGUUUGUUUGUUUUGAGACGGAGUCUCGCUCUGUCGCC